CAGUGGAGUAUGCACCAUUUCCAAGGUUCUUUUGUCCCAAGUGGAUGCGCCAAGUUCAGGAUCGCUCGCGCCAAGUGCUAGUAGCUUUGGCAUCUCGAGGCUAGCGGCUAGAUGGCGGGGUUAUGAAUUUGGAAAUUUCCAUCAGCCUCAGGCCAUGACUCUGGCUUCCCUGGUGAGUGCUGUUCAUGGUGAGAGGAGUGGGAAUCACUUCAUCGUAUAAGGUGAAAGGAAUGAUGAUUUUGAGUCAGCAUGAAUAUGGCCAAGAAAACGAGCUAACCCCAUCACCAUGGGCAUGGGCAUGGGCAUGGGCUAUUGGUAUGUUGGUGAAGGUUAAAUCAGCUCUUUUGCCAUCAUAAGCAGUAAUGUAUAUCCCCAUGGGUGGCCAAGCCAGGGUUGCACUGGAGAGACCCUGCGUAGAAUUGGAAUGAAGACCAACACCAGACUUGAGAUGACAUUGGGGGUUUUGGUUUCCACAAAACCCUCUUCCGAAUAAGCAACACACAAAUAAUGAUCAACUGAUUGAUAUGAGUAAGUGUAACGUUAUAUUACUGUUAUGUCCGUUUCGGUCGGUGUGUCACUGUCAGCUCUGAUAGAGAGCAAUGAUUGAGCUGAAGACAAGCCGGGUGAGGAUAGCAAAUGGAUUCUGAGUUUUUUGGGCGAUGGGUGGUAAUGAAAAACUGUUGCGAUAGUCUGUUGAAUCAGCGGUGG
Molecule: small RNA, 708 nt
Filed under: Histoplasma ohiense
Lineage: Eukaryota; Fungi; Ascomycota; Eurotiomycetes; Onygenales; Ajellomycetaceae
Description: hypothetical lncRNA
Source: RNAcentral